UGUAAAGUGGAAAUCCGCACCGUAAGAAUAAAUGCGGACAUCCGCACCUGAGAAAAUCUAUAUAUAUAUAUAUAUCAAAGAUAAUCUUUCAUGUUUAGCUUGGAAUCCCUUGGAUGGCAAGUGACAUAUUAAUUUAUUGGGUAGUGCUAGAAGGCCUAGGAUUUAUGGCCUUAAUCCUUGGUGGCAUGUCAAAUCACCUAUCCACAUCAUUAAAUAAAAAAAUCAUGCUAUGUCAUUUUUGGGUAAAAAUACAAUCUUAUCAUUUCAUAUCCAAUGACUCUAGAUUAUUUUGUUUUUAUUUUAUAAAAAGAUGUUUUUAAAGCCAUUUUUUUCAUUACUUGUGCUUAAAUUUAAAUAUGAAAUAUAUAUAUAUAUAUACACACAUUAAUUUUUCCAA
This 397-nucleotide long non-coding RNA is filed under the name Fragaria vesca (wild strawberry). Its description in RNAcentral is "long non-coding RNA (FVES_LNC004221)". The record is from RNAcentral. Lineage: Eukaryota; Viridiplantae; Streptophyta; Magnoliopsida; Rosales; Rosaceae.